UGCCAGGGAGGGUGACAAUGAGCACUGGAGAGGGUUUUCUUCCCCUUGUUGCUGUCUCUUCCCCCUCUUGCUGCUAUGGCAGAUUCUGGACAGUGUGCAGCCUGUGAGGUAAUCUGAAUUCCUUGGCAACCGGCAAGUACCUGAAUUCUUUCAAAACCACAGGAAUCCAGCAGAGAAAAGACCAUUUGUGAACAACAGUGGCCCUAGGAUCUUCAUACCAAUUGCCAUUGCAUGAAAAUACAAUGUGAUCCUGGAUCCCUGCUGGGAAAGUGGAUUUAAGCGUAGAGGUCACGGACUCCGGACUACUGGCAAAGAAUGACUGGCAUCCUGGCAGGACUGAAACCAAGAAGCUUCCUCUUUACCAUCACAUCUUCCCUGGUCCCUCUUCUACCGCACAAAUGUAGAACCUGUAAGAGUUUGAAUAAUAUGCUGAAGAAACAGGGCUUCCCUGGUGGCGCAGUGGUUAAGAAUCCACCUGCCAAUGUAGGGGACAGGGGUUCAAUCCCUGGUCUGGGAAGAUCCCACAUGUUGCGGAGCAACUAAGCCCAUGCGCCACAACUACUGAGCCCACGUGCCACAACUACUGAGCCCGUGUGCCUAGAGCCCCUGCUCCACAACAAGAGAAGCCCGCGCACCGCAACGAAGAGUAGCCCCCGCUGGCUGCAACUAGAGAAAGCCUGCACGCAGCAA
Balaenoptera acutorostrata (minke whale) is the source of this 690-nucleotide long non-coding RNA. RefSeq lists it as uncharacterized. NCBI's taxonomy places the organism in Eukaryota, Metazoa, Chordata, Mammalia, Artiodactyla, Balaenopteridae. The transcript has 4 exons. The record is from RefSeq and is a predicted model, not a curated record.